This 403-nucleotide ribosomal RNA is filed under the name uncultured bacterium. RNAcentral's name for it is "partial 16S ribosomal RNA". It matches the Rfam family "Bacterial small subunit ribosomal RNA", at positions 28 to 526 of the family's 1533-position model. The record is from RNAcentral.
GACGAACGCUGGCGGCGUGCCUAAUACAUGCAAGUCGAACGCAGUGGGGACGGGUGAGUAACACGUGGGUAACCUCCCAUCAGAGGGGAUAACCCUUGGAAACAGGUGCUAAAACGAUACUGAUGGAUGGAACCGCGGUGCAUGAGCUCGAGGGUGGGGCAACGGCUCACAAAGGCCACGAUGCAUAGCCGACCGUAGAGGGGGAUCGGCCACACUGGAACUGAGACACGGCCCAGACUCCUACGGGAGGCAGCAGUAGGGAAUCGUCGGCAAUGGACGAAAGUCUGACCGAGCAACGCCGCGUGAGUGAAGAAGGUUUUCGGAUCGUAAAACUCUGUUGUUAGAGAAGCGGUAUCUAACCAGAAAGCCACGGCUAACUACGUGCCAGCAGCCGCGGUAAUAC